CUAUAAGUAGUUGCAACCUUCAGUCCUUAAUUUUCCUGUUUCCUGUUACGUCUCAGCAGCCGUCGACUAGGGUUCUGAAUCAAGGGAGGGUGCAGGGUUCGGUUCACCAUGAGAGCCAAGUGGAAGAAGAAGCGUAUGAGGAGGCUGAAGAGGAAGCGCCGAAAGAUGAGACAGAGAUCCAAGUAGUGCGUUCUUUUUUCUCUCCAACAAUUGAUCUUAGUUUUUUUCCAGUUGAUUAUGUUGUCAAAUGGGACACCCAGUUAGUUAACAGUACUGGUCUCUCCUUUUUGAUGUUUUGAUAAGUGUUCUGUUCAUCUUAUCUUAUAUUAGCUUUAAACAAUGAUGUUCCUAUGCGACUCUAGAAGCUUUUAUAUAUUUCAUUUCUGAUUCUCU
Gastrolobium bilobum is the source of this 393-nucleotide long non-coding RNA. RefSeq lists it as uncharacterized. The transcript is spliced from 2 exons. NCBI's taxonomy places the organism in Eukaryota, Viridiplantae, Streptophyta, Magnoliopsida, Fabales, Fabaceae. The record is from RefSeq and is a predicted model, not a curated record.